AACGCCACACUUCCGGCUGUCUUUGCGCGCCGUGCUCGUGUCCAUCCGGUGUCCCCGACGGAACGCGACACUUCCGGUCCCCCGCGCGUGGGGCGCGUAGGGUGGGUUCCUGUUGUAGGACUCAAGCUCCGUGUUCGUCGAGAAAUCCGCCGGGAACACGGGGGAUCUCAGCUGUACCCUCAAGGGGCUUACGUAAAGUUGUAAACAAUAAACGAAGGCAAACGCAUUAAGUCAAAAUAUGACCGGUGUUUAAAGCGUUUGAGCUUCAUGAGGGUCCACAGCUGUGAUUUCUGACAUCUGUCUAGUACAGUAGGUGUACAUGGAGAAGAGCAGCAUGGGAGCAGAAGGGAUUAUGAUCCCCUUUACAUUUGAGAAAACUGAGGCUCCGAGAGGUUGGUAAACCUGCUCAGGGUCCCCGACUGAUCCAGGGACGUCAGAAAUCUGAUAGUCCCCACACUUGGGGCAGGGUCGGGAAGGAUGGAGCUUCAGCUCCACCCUAGAGCCGUGAGCCUAUACCUUGA
This is a long non-coding RNA of Herpailurus yagouaroundi (jaguarundi), 521 nucleotides long. RefSeq lists it as uncharacterized. Lineage: Eukaryota; Metazoa; Chordata; Mammalia; Carnivora; Felidae. The record is from RefSeq and is a predicted model, not a curated record. The transcript is spliced from 3 exons.